This 268-nucleotide unclassified non-coding RNA is filed under the name fungal sp. RNAcentral describes it as "partial internal transcribed spacer region". The stretch from base 1 to 46 matches the Rfam family "Eukaryotic small subunit ribosomal RNA", at positions 1786 to 1831 of the family's 1831-position model. The record is from RNAcentral. Lineage: Eukaryota; Fungi.
AAGUCGUAACAAGGUUUCCGUAGGUGAACCUGCGGAAGGAUCAUUAGCUUAGCGCGCGAGCUGCAAAGCUCGCAUAAGCGCAAUCACACCGUGUGAACGUGGAAUGUGCGCAAAGCGCUGCAGUGUCUGGUGCUCUGGCGAGCGCGUCAAGCGAUUGGCGUCCGGCGGGGCAUCAGCAUUCAGCACUAAACCUUUGUAACAAUCCGUUAACGCUUAACACAAAACCUAAUAUUAUACACAACUUUUAACAAUGGAUCUCUAGGCUCCU